RNAcentral lists this ribosomal RNA (2913 nucleotides) under Candidatus Woesebacteria bacterium. RNAcentral describes it as "23S ribosomal RNA". It matches the Rfam family "Bacterial large subunit ribosomal RNA". The record is from RNAcentral. Lineage: Bacteria; Candidatus Woeseibacteriota.
AAUUUGUAACUUAAAGCAAAAGGUGGAUGCCUUGGCUUGUUUGACCGAAGAAGGACGCGUAGGGCGCGAAAGUCGUCGGGUAGCUCCCAAAAAGCUGUGAUCCGGCGGUGUCCGAAUGGGGUAACCCCGCCUUGUUUACAAGGUGGCCCAAACAAUUUAUUGUUUGGGGGGGUACGUGCCGAACUGAAAUAUCUAAGUAAGCACAGGAAAAGAAAACGAAUGAGAUUUCCUUAGUAAGCGACGAGCGAAAAGGAAUUAGCCCAAACCAGAUUUUUCUGGGGUUGUAGGACUCUAACAUUGGACAGUGAUUGUUAGUAGAACAAUGUGGAAUAAUUGGCCAAAGACCGUGAAAGCCGCGUAUACGAAAACAAAAACUGCCAUAGGAUGUUCCUGAGUAGGUUAAGAGACGGCAAACUCUUUUCUGAAUCUGGGGUGACCAUACUCCAAGGCUAAAUAUCAAACAAGACCGAUAGUGAACGAGUACCGUGAGGGAAAGGUGAAAAGAAGGGCGGAAGGCCCCGUGAAAUAGUAUCUGAAACCAUUUGCUAACAAUCAGACAAAGCAGGAUUUAUCUUGUGAUGUCGUGCCUAUUGAAGAAUGAGCCAGCGAGUAUUUGCUAAGUUGCUUGGUUAAGACAUUGCCAUGUCGAAGCCGUAGUGAAAGCGAGCUUGAAUAGAGCGUUUAUAGUAACUAGUAAAUGACCCGAAACCGGAGUGAGCUAAUCAUGGCCAGGAUGAUUUAGGGCGAGAGCCCUAAGGAGGUCCGCACCGUUGUAUGCUGCAAGAUGCUCGGAUGAGCUGUGGUUAGGGGUAAUAUGCCAAUCGAACCCGGAGAUAGCUGGUUCUCCCUGAAAUAUAUUUAGGUAUAGGGUUGCGUUAAGCAGAGUUGGGGGUAGAGCACUGAUCGGGCGUCUUAUGGGAAACCGUGAGCGUCUAGUCAAACUCCGAAUACCAAUUUUGUGUUUCGCAGCACUCAGCACCUGGGAGCUAAGUUCCAGGAGCUAAAGGAAAACAAACCAGACCUACAGCUAAGGUCUCCAAUAAACAUUUAGUGGGAAAGGAAGUUUAGAUCCUAAGACAACUAGGAGGUCGGCUCAGAAGCAGCCAUCCUUUAAAGAAAGCGUAACAGCUCACUAGCCGUAGGAUUUAUGCGCCGAAAAUUUAACGAGGCUCAAAUGUUUAACCGAAGCUUAGGAUUUGCUCUAGUUUACUAGAGUGAGUGGUAAGGGAGCGUUCUGUGUGCUUUGAAGGUGGCCCGUAAGGAGCUGCUGGAGCGAUCAGAAGUGAGAAUGCUGGCAUAAGUAGCGUCAUUGAAGUGAGAAUCUUCAACUCCGAAUGUCCAAGGUUUCCGCACCCACGUUCGUCGUGUGCGGGUUAGGCGACCCUAAGACAAGCCCCGUCUCAGACGGAGGGUAGUCGAUGGAUUACUGGUUAAUAUUCCAGUCCUUGGUACAGAUCAUUAUUACUUGGGGAGGGACGAUGAUGGAUAGCGCUGGUGCAAAAGUGAAUUUUGUAUCCAAUCAACAAGACAGUCUAGUUAGGCAAAUCCGAUUAGGCGUUUAUUCAAGUUGUGAUAGGUCAAUACUCCGCGUGAGUGUUGAUCAGCGUGAUUUCAUUAUCCUGGAAAAGCUUCGCAAGGAGAGCUGUAUCAAAUCGUACCGAUAACCGACACAGGUGGACAGGUCGAGUAGACCAAGGAGAGCGAGAGAAAGUAGUUUAAGGAAUUCGGCAAAAUAGCUGGGCGUAACUUUGGGAAAUGCCCUCCCCAUCGCAAGAUGGGGCGCAGCGAAUGAGAUGGAGCUGACUGUUUACCAAAAACACAGGUCUGUGCAAACCCGCAAGGGGAAGUAUACGGGCUGAAACCUGCCCGGUGCUGGAAGGUUAAUUGCGAGGGUGAUUAGUUUACUAAUUGCUUUCAAUAGAAGCCCCAGUGAACGGCAGCAGUAACUAUAACUGUUCUAAGGUAGCGAAGUACCUUGUCACUUAAUUGGUGACGCGCAUGAAAGGCACAACAAGCCUCAUACUGUCUUGAACUACUACUCGGCGAAAUUGAGAUGGCCGUGAAGACGCGGCCUACUAACACAAGGACAAAUAGACCCCGUGAAGCUUUACUACAACUUGGCACUGGUCUUAUAUAUAGAAUUGUUUAGGAUAGGUGGGAGUUCCUUCAUUUAGUGAUGGAACAUCAGUGAAAUACCACUCGUUUUAUAUAUAGGACCUUACUUAAGACUAAUGCAAACUUAGUCAAGGACACUGUCUGGCAGGUAGUUUAACUGGGGAGGUUGCUUGCUAAAGAGUAACGCAAGCGCGCAAUGGUACCCUUAGUCUGGAUGGAAAUCAGACUGUACGUGCAAUAGCAUAUGGGUGCUUAACUGUGAGGCAUACGGGCCGAGCAGAUGCGAAAGCAGGUUAUAGUGAUCCUCGUGCACUUUAUGGAAGGUGCCGGGCUUAUCGGAUAAAAGCUACUCCGGGGAUAACAGAGUCAUCGCGCCUAAGCGUCCCUAGCGUCGGCGCGGUUUGCUACCUCGAUGUCGGCUCAUCGCAUCCUGGGGGUGAAGAAGCUCCCAAGGGUUUGUCUGUUCGCCAAUUAAAGCGGUACGCGAGCUGGGUUCAGACCGUCGUGAGACAGGUCGGCCUCUAUCCGGUGUUAGCGUUAGAAAGUUGAGGGAAUUGAUCUCUAGUACGAGAGGAUCGAGAUGAGGGAAUCCCUAGUGUUCCUGUUGUUGCUGUCAAGCGCACCGCAGGGUAGCUACAUUUCUUAAGGAUAAUCGCUGAAAGCAUCUAAGCGAGAAGCCCCACCCAAGAUUAACUUUCUCCAUUAGACCCGUGGAAGACUACCACGUUGAUAGGUUGCCGGUGUAAGUAUGGUGACAUAUUAAGCCUAGCAAUACUAAGUGUCGAUUGAAUAAAUUAC